RNAcentral lists this ribosomal RNA (430 nucleotides) under Dysdera sp. MH. RNAcentral's name for it is "partial 16S ribosomal RNA". It matches the Rfam family "Bacterial large subunit ribosomal RNA", at positions 1827 to 2600 of the family's 2925-position model. Lineage: Eukaryota; Metazoa; Arthropoda; Arachnida; Araneae; Dysderidae. The record is from RNAcentral.
AACUUUAUGAACACUAUGAUCUAAAGCAUAUCCUGCUCAGUGAAAAUAAACAGCCGCAGAAUUUUAUACUGUGCUAAGGUAGCAUAAUCACUUGUCUUUUAAUUAAAGAAUAGAAUGAACGGAAAAACGAAUUUUAACCUGUUUCAUUUUCAUCUAAUAAAAUUAGCUUAAAGUCAAAAUUCUUUAAUAAAAAAAAAAGACGACAAGACCCUAAGAACUUAACUAAAGUUUUGCUGGGGCGGCUUUUUUAAAAAAAUCUUAUAAACAAACUACUCCAUCCUAUCUCUAUUCUAGUUACCUUAGGGAUAACAGCAUAAUUUAAUUUUAAAGCUCUUAUUCAAAAUUAAAAUUAUGACCUCGAUGUUGAAUUAACAAUCUCUUAUAAGAAAAAUUAUAACAAGAAAGUCUGUUCGACUUUUAAACAAUUACA